CUCCUUGUGGUGUAGUUGGCUAUCACGCUCGGCUGUAAAUGGAAAAAUAAUAUACCGAAAGGUCACCGGCUAGAUUCCGGUCGAGGAGA
This 89-nucleotide transfer RNA is filed under the name Lasiosphaeris hirsuta. It matches the Rfam family "tRNA". Rfam says of the family: Transfer RNA (tRNA) molecules are approximately 80 nucleotides in length. Lineage: Eukaryota; Fungi; Ascomycota; Sordariomycetes; Sordariales; Lasiosphaeriaceae. The record is from Rfam by way of RNAcentral.